GAUCAUGGCUCAGGAUGAACGCUAGCUACAGGUUUAACACAUGCAAGUCGAGGGGGAAACGACAUCGAAAGCUUGCUUUUUGGUGGGCGUCGACCGGCGCACGGGUGAGUAACGCGUAUCCAACCUUCCCCUGUCCACGGGAUAGCCCGUCGAAAGGCGGAUUAAUACCGUAUGAAGUCACACGAUGGCAUCAGACUGUGACGAAAGGUUUUUGCGGACAGGGAUGGGGAUGCGUCCGAUUAGGUAGUCGGCGGGGUAACGGCCCACCGAGCCGACGAUCGGUAGGGGUUCUGAGAGGAAGGUCCCCCACAUUGGAACUGAGACACGGUCCAAACUCCUACGGGAGGCAGCAGUGAGGAAUAUUGGUCAAUGGGCGAGAGCCUGAACCAGCCAAGUAGCGUGCAGGAUGACGGCCCUAUGGGUUGUAAACUGCUUUUAUAAGGGAAUAAAGUGGGUCACGUGUGACUUUUGCAUGUACCUUAUGAAUAAGGACCGGCUAAUUCCGUG
This 507-nucleotide ribosomal RNA is filed under the name uncultured bacterium. RNAcentral describes it as "bacterial SSU rRNA". It matches the Rfam family "Bacterial small subunit ribosomal RNA", at positions 15 to 507 of the family's 1533-position model. The record is from RNAcentral.